AUAAAUGUUCAAUACAAAUCCCUAUGCUCAGUAUCUCAACAGUCGUUGAUCAAGACAGUGCAGAAAGUAGCAGCAGCAGGAAUAAUUGCUAGUGGAGUGCUAUCUGGCGAGUGUGAUCAGUUGACUCGGAAACCGUUGAAAAUGUCUCGAAACAUGAGCAGUUUAAGUAUAUGUCUUUUGAUCCUGAUAGCUUUUAAUGUAGCGCUUGGCAAACCGGUGUCGGAACAAGUAGAUUCUUCGGCACUAGCAGCAACAGAUGUUCGUGUUCCGAAAAUGUAUGUCGCAGAAGGUGCAUCUCCCAUUUACCACGCAGGCAUUGCCAGUGUAAACGGUCGGUUUGGAAAGAGCAUACGAGCAUUUACAGUGAAUGAGUUCGAGAAGUAUAUUGGCGGAUUGGCAUGAUAUACCUAACUAUUUUUGAUGUUCUUUUGAAAUUAAGAAAUGCUAAAAUUCUGCAUAGUGCGACGGGAAGUAAAACAUUGGUGUUCUCUUUCACAUUCAGAACUUUUUUGAAAAUCAGUAUUAGUUCCCAUGUACCAGACACCCAAGAUACGUUAAUGUUACCAGUUAUUAAGUUAUACAGAGGCCAUGGAAUUUAAUAAAUCAACGGUUCAAGCGUUCAA
Long non-coding RNA from Aedes aegypti (yellow fever mosquito), 623 nucleotides. RefSeq lists it as uncharacterized. NCBI's taxonomy places the organism in Eukaryota, Metazoa, Arthropoda, Insecta, Diptera, Culicidae. The transcript is spliced from 3 exons. The record is from RefSeq and is a predicted model, not a curated record.